Molecule: non-coding RNA, 755 nt
Organism: Camellia sinensis
Lineage: Eukaryota; Viridiplantae; Streptophyta; Magnoliopsida; Ericales; Theaceae
Source: RefSeq, a predicted model, not a curated record
AGAAACAAAAACUAGCUAUAGAGAAAGACAGAGAGUGAUGCGUUCGAGAGAGAGAGAGAGAGAGAGAGAGAGCAAAGAUGAAGAAGAGAACAUAAAGAGAAGAUGAAGGGAAGAGUAGUCCUUCGGAGCGAUAACCAUUGCUUUGCUUGCGAUAGCCAUUGCUUCGCUCGAGUAGUCCUUCGGAUUUACCUCCUUCGCAACUUCGGUUGUAUUUGCUUUUCUGUCCGGUCAAUAAAGGCCCACGAACGAAGCAAACUGAGCUGUCUCACCUAUCUCUCCGACCAGAGUUCUCAUAUCUCUCCCUCGCACUGCCCAAUUUCAGGUUUCUCUCUCUUUCUCUGUCGAUCUCAGUCUUUCUCUAUUGAUCUCGGCUGCAAAUCAUAGGUUUCUCUCUCUCUCUCUCUCUCUCUCGGUCUCUCUAUCAAUAUCGGCCGCAAAUCACAGGUUUCUCUCUGUUGAUCUCGACCGCAAAUCACAAGUACCUGAGGAUCCAAGCGAUUAUUUGAACGUACGUAUAAGUUAGCUUUUGAUGUGGUACAGAUUAAUUUUGAUGCGGUACAGAUUACCUUUUGACAUGGUAUAGAUUACUUUUUUGGCAUGGUAUAGAUUACCUUUUGGUAUGGUACAAAUUAGUUUUUGGUGGUACAGAUUAACUUUUGGAUAUUAAUUUUGUUUAAUCCUUUGUUAUGUAUGGAAUUGUAUUUUUGAGGUUGGAUUGUACUUGGUUUAUAUGGAAUUUCUAUUGCAUUUUUAAU